RNAcentral lists this ribosomal RNA (439 nucleotides) under Enterococcus faecium. Its description in RNAcentral is "bacterial LSU rRNA". It matches the Rfam family "Bacterial large subunit ribosomal RNA", at positions 2489 to 2925 of the family's 2925-position model. The record is from RNAcentral. Lineage: Bacteria; Bacillati; Bacillota; Bacilli; Lactobacillales; Enterococcaceae.
CCACCAAGAGUCCACAUCGACGGGGAGGUUUGGCACCGCGAUGUCGGCUCGUCGCAUCCUGGGGCGGUAGGCGGUCCAGAGGGUUGGGCUGUUCGCCCAUUAAAGCGGCACGCGAGAGGGGCUCAGAACGUCGUGAGACAGUGCGGUCCCUAUCCGGCGCGGGAGUGGGAAAUUUGAGAGGAGCUGUCCUUAGUACGAGAGGACCGGGAUGGACUUACCGCUGGUGUACCAGUUGUUCUGCCAAGGGCAUUGCUGGGUAGCUAUGUAGGGAAGGGAUAAACGCUGAAAGCAUCUAAGUGUGAAGCCCACCUCAAGAUGAGAUUUCCCAUUUCUUUAAGAAAGUAAGAUCCCUGAGAGAUGAUCAGGUAGAUAGGUCAGGAGUGGAAGUACAGUGAUGUAUGGAGCGGACUGAUACUAAUCGAUCGAGGACUUAACCAAU